UGAGGAACAAUGACAAGGAU
RNAcentral lists this small nuclear RNA (20 nucleotides) under Arabidopsis thaliana (thale cress). RNAcentral's name for it is "snRNA_12564". The record is from RNAcentral. Lineage: Eukaryota; Viridiplantae; Streptophyta; Magnoliopsida; Brassicales; Brassicaceae.